This is a non-coding RNA of Schistosoma mansoni, 45 nucleotides long. Lineage: Eukaryota; Metazoa; Platyhelminthes; Trematoda; Strigeidida; Schistosomatidae. The record is from Rfam.
AUCCAGCUGACGAGUCCCAAAUAGGACGAAACGCACGUCCGGGAU